CGCUAGCGGCAGGCCUAACACAUGCAAGUCGAGGGGCAUCGGGAUUGAAGCUUGCUUCAAUUGCCGGCGACCGGCGCACGGGUGCGUAACGCGUAUGUAACCUACCUAUAACAGGGGCAUAACACUGAGAAAUUGGUACUAAUUCCCCAUAAUAUUCGGAGAGGCAUCUCUCCGGGUUGAAAACUCCGGUGGUUAUAGAUGGACAUGCGUUGUAUUAGCUAGUUGGUGAGGUAACGGCUCACCAAGGCAACGAUACAUAGGGGGACUGAGAGGUUAACCCCCCACACUGGUACUGAGACACGGACCAGACUCCUACGGGAGGCAGCAGUGAGGAAUAUUGGUCAAUGGACGCAAGUCUGAACCAGCCAUGCCGCGUGCAGGAAGACGGCUCUAUGAGUUGUAAACUGCUUUUGUACGAGGGUAAACUCACCUACGUGUAGGUGACUGAAAGUAUCGUACGAAUAAGGAUCGGCUAACUCCGUGCCAGCAGCCGCGGUAAUACGGAGGAUUCAAGCGUUAUCCGGAUUUAUUGGGUUUAAAGGGUGCGUAGGCGGUUUGAUAAGUUAGAGGUGAAAUCCCGGGGCUUAACUCCGGAACUGCCUCUAAUACUGUUAGACUAGAGAGUAGUUGCGGUAGGCGGAAUGUAUGGUGUAGCGGUGAAAUGCUUAGAGAUCAUACAGAACACCGAUUGCGAAGGCAGCUUACCAAACUAUAUCUGACG
This 721-nucleotide ribosomal RNA is filed under the name uncultured Bacteroidales bacterium. Its description in RNAcentral is "bacterial SSU rRNA". It matches the Rfam family "Bacterial small subunit ribosomal RNA", at positions 34 to 745 of the family's 1533-position model. Lineage: Bacteria; Pseudomonadati; Bacteroidota; Bacteroidia; Bacteroidales. The record is from RNAcentral.